AUUGAACGCUGGCGGCAGGCCUAACACAUGCAAGUCGAACGGUAACAGGAAGAAGCUUGCUUCUUUGCUGACGAGUGGCGGACGGGUGAGUAAUGUCUGGGAAACUCCCUGAUUGCGGGGGAUAACUACUGGAAACGGUAGCUAAUACCGCAUAACGUCGCAAGACCAAAGAGGGGGACCUUCUGGCCUCUUGCCAUCUGAUGUGCCCAGAUGGGAUUAGCUAGUAGGUGGGGUAACGGCUCACCCAGGCGACGAUCCCUAGCUGGUCUCAGAGGAUGACCAGCCACACUGGAACUGAGACACGGUCCAGACUCCUACGGGAGGCAGCAGUGGGGAAUAUUGCACAAAGGGCGCAAGCCUGAUGCAGCCAUGCCGCGUGUAUGAAGAAGGCCUUCGGGUUGUAAAGUACUUUCAGCGGGGAGGAAGGGAGUAAAGUUAAUACCUUUGCGCAUUGACGGUACCCGCAGAAGAAGCACCGGCUAACUCCGUG
Molecule: ribosomal RNA, 490 nt
Filed under: uncultured bacterium
Lineage: Bacteria
Description: partial 16S ribosomal RNA
Rfam family: Bacterial small subunit ribosomal RNA
Source: RNAcentral